Molecule: ribosomal RNA, 494 nt
Filed under: uncultured bacterium
Lineage: Bacteria
Description: bacterial SSU rRNA
Rfam family: Bacterial small subunit ribosomal RNA
Source: RNAcentral
AGAGUUUGAUCCUGGCUCAGAACGAACGUUGGCGGCGUGGAUCAGGCAUGCAAGUCGAACGAAUCCCAGGGGGGUAACUCCCUGGGGGAAGUGGCGAAAGGGGCAGUAAGGCAUGGGUGACCUGCCCCGGACUCCGGGAUAGCCUUCCUAACGGAUGGGUAAUACCGGAUACCGUCCGCGAGGACGAAAGCUCAGGCGGUCCGGGAGGGGCUCAUGUGGUAUUAGCUAGUUGGUGCGGUGACGGCGCACCAAGGCCGAGAUGCCUAGCAGGUGUGAGAGCACGACCUGCGCCACUGGCACUGUGACACUGGCCAGACUCCUACGGGAGGCUGCAGUCGAGGAUCUUCGGCAAUGGGCGAAAGCCUGACCGAGCGACGCCGCGUGUGCGAUGAAGGCCUUCGGGUUGUAAAGCACUGUCGGGGGGGAGAAAAGGAAACCUGAUCGACCCCCGGAGGAAGCUCGGGCUAAGUUCGUGCCAGCCGCCGCGGUAAUAC